Molecule: ribosomal RNA, 513 nt
Filed under: uncultured bacterium
Lineage: Bacteria
Description: bacterial SSU rRNA
Rfam family: Bacterial small subunit ribosomal RNA
Source: RNAcentral
CGACGCCGCGUGCGGGAGGACGCCCUUCGGGGUGUAAACCGCUGUCAGAGGGGACGAAUGACGAGGGAGGGAAUACUUCUCUUGAGUGACGGUACCCUCAGAGGAAGCGCCGGCUAACUCUGUGCCAGCAGCCGCGGUAAGACAGAGGGCGCGAGCGUUGUCGGAAUCACUGGGCGUAAAGCGCGCGCAGGCGGACCUGUGCGUCCGGAGUGAAAUCUCGCCGCUCAACGGCGAGGCUGCUUGGGAAACGGCAGGUCUGGGGACCGGUAGAGGCCGGUGGAAUUGCUGGUGUAGCGGUGGAAUGCGUAGAGAUCAGCAAGAACACCCGUGGCGAAGGCGGCCGGCUGGGCCGGAUCCGACGCUGAGGCGCGAAAGCGUGGGGAGCAAACAGGAUUAGAUACCCUGGUAGUCCACGCCGUAAACGAUGGGCACUAGGUGCCGGGGGGAGCGACCCCUUCGGUGCCGCAGCUAACGCGUUAAGUGCCCCGCCUGGGGAGUACGGCCGCAAGGCUG